UACAGAGGGGGCAAGCGUUGUUCGGAAUUACUGGGCGUAAAGGGCGCGUAGGCGGCCUUCUAAGUCGAACGUGAAAUCCCCGGGCUCAACCCGGGAACUGCGUCCGAUACUGGAAGGCUUGAAUCCGGGAGAGGGAUGCGGAAUUCCAGGUGUAGCGGUGAAAUGCGUAGAUAUCCGGAGGAACACCGGUGGCGAAGGCGGCUUCCUGGACCGACACUGACGCUGAGGCGCGAAAGCUAGGGGAGCAAACGGG
Molecule: ribosomal RNA, 253 nt
Filed under: uncultured bacterium
Lineage: Bacteria
Description: partial 16S ribosomal RNA
Rfam family: Bacterial small subunit ribosomal RNA
Source: RNAcentral